CUUUGAGCUUUGGUAUUAACACAUGUGCUGCCUCUGAGAUUUGUCCAUCCUUUUCCCUCCCUGGAGUCAGGUCUAAAGCUUCCAGUGAGGCGGGCAAAACAUCUGCCGCACUCCCACCCCUACUCCUGGCUGCUGGUGGUUUGGGAUGAAGCCACUGAAACUCCCUUGCAAGGCCACACCUUGAGAAGAUGGGCCGGUGCUGGGAUGCCUCUCACUUUCUAUUCUGCUUGGUUUCUGGGAGGAAGCUAAUGACAUAAGGGGCCUAAAGGCUUUCUUAACUGGUGACCUGGAGUUUAAUUGUAAGUGGGUCUUUCGGGGCAGCAGUUAGGAAUGUAUGGAUCACCUUCAGUCAUCUGCAGGGAGACUUGGACUGGAAGUGGGAGAACUGGCUCCACUGGACUCUGAAAAAGGCUGUGGAGUUUUCAUCUGCUGCUGAUUUCAUCCACUGUCCCAAAAGUUAUCUUGGCCACAAACCUUUGAUCUGGGAGUGAGACCCCUCGCCCGAUGCUUCUAGGGCAGGAGUCAGUGACUGCCUAUACCCGCUGUUCUGUGUAGAUGGGAGAGGGUGUUAGUUAUUGAGUAGGGCUGAGUACUUGGGGUGAUUUGGGGUGGUUAGGCAUGAUUGGGGCUUACACACUGGAGGGGUCAUGUGUAGGCUUCUUGAUGGGGUUCUUUCAGGAAGGAGGAGGCAAAAGAACAGUUUUGCUUGUUUCUUGGUUGUUCCUGACUCCAUCCAGGAGUGUGAC
RNAcentral lists this long non-coding RNA (746 nucleotides) under Homo sapiens (human). RNAcentral describes it as "LHRI_LNC141.1". The record is from RNAcentral. Lineage: Eukaryota; Metazoa; Chordata; Mammalia; Primates; Hominidae.